UUGAAUGCAAUCAAUGAUGUAUUCCCUGACUCCCCACAGAGGUUCUGUCUUAGACAUAUAUAUGCCAACUUCCAAUCUGCUGGUUUUAGAGGGGAGCAACUCAAGAAACACUUAGAUCAGGCUGCCUAUUCCUUCACUAAGAAUGGUCAUGAAAAAGGGAUGGAAAAUUUGAAGAAAGAAAGUUUUGAAGCUUGGCAGUGGUUGUCACAGAUACCAGACCAUACAUGGGCAAGAUAUAAAAUGGAUACUGUUUGCAAAACUGACCUGGUUGUUAACAACCUCAGUGAAGUUUUUAACAGGAUGAUAUUGGAUGUUAGGAACAAGCCAAUCAGGACUAUGCUGGAGGGCAUAAGAACUAAGUUGAUGAUCAAGUUUCAGAAAAUCAGAGAGAAAACAGAGUCAUGCAGAUGGGAGAUCACACCAACCUACUCAGAAAUUUUA
RNAcentral lists this ribosomal RNA (441 nucleotides) under Triticum aestivum (bread wheat). RNAcentral describes it as "partial small subunit ribosomal RNA". The record is from RNAcentral. Lineage: Eukaryota; Viridiplantae; Streptophyta; Magnoliopsida; Poales; Poaceae.